This 200-nucleotide unclassified non-coding RNA is filed under the name soil metagenome. Its description in RNAcentral is "partial contains internal transcribed spacer 2 and large subunit ribosomal RNA". The record is from RNAcentral.
UCCAAUCAAGCCUGGCUUGGUAUUGGGCGUCGGGGGUCCCCCGCGCCUCAAUUUCACCGGCUGGCCGUCGCCCGUCUUAGCGUUGUGACACACUUCUCGCUACCGAUGAGGCCGGACCACGCCGUCAAAACUCCACGAAUUUCAAUCGAAAUUUGAUUAAGGUUGACCUCGGAUCGGGUAGGAAUACCCGCUGAACUUAA